AUUGAACGCUGGCGGCAGGCCUAACACAUGCAAGUCGAACGGUAACAGGAAGCAGCUUGCUGCUUCGCUGACGAGUGGCGGACGGGUGAGUAAUGUCUGGGAAACUGCCUGAUGGAGGGGGAUAACUACUGGAAACGGUAGCUAAUACCGCAUAACGUCGCAAGACCAAAGAGGGGGACCUUCGGGCCUCUUGCCAUCGGAAGGGCCCAGAAGGGAUUAGCUAGUAGGUGGGGUAACGGCUCACCUAGGCGACGAUCCCUAGCUGGUCUGAGAGGAUGACCAGCCACACUGGAAAUGAGACACGGUCCAGACUCCUACGGGAGGCAGCAGUGGGGAAUAUUGCACAAUGGGCGCAAGCCUGAUGCAGCCAUGCCGCGUGUAUGAAGAAGGCCUUCGGGUUGUAAAGUACUUUCAGCGGGGAGGAAGGCGAUAAGGUUAAUAACCUUGUCGAUUGACGUUACCCGCAGAAGAAGCACCGGCUAACUCCGUGCCAGCCGCCGCAGUAA
Molecule: ribosomal RNA, 506 nt
Filed under: uncultured bacterium
Lineage: Bacteria
Description: partial 16S ribosomal RNA
Rfam family: Bacterial small subunit ribosomal RNA
Source: RNAcentral